Molecule: ribosomal RNA, 431 nt
Filed under: uncultured bacterium
Lineage: Bacteria
Description: partial 16S ribosomal RNA
Rfam family: Bacterial small subunit ribosomal RNA
Source: RNAcentral
AACGAACGCUGGCGGUAGGCUUAACACAUGCAAGUCGAGCGCCCCGCAAGGGGAGCGGCAGACGUGUGGGUAACGCGUGGGAACGUACUCUUAUCUUCGGGAUAGCUCCGGGAAACUGGAAUUAAUACCGAAUGUGCCCUUUGGGGGAAAGAUUUAUCGGAUAAGGAUGGGCCCGCGGUGGAUUAGCUAGUUGGUGGGGUAAAGGCCUACCAAGGCGAAGAUCCAUAGCUGGUCUGAGAGGAUGAUCAGCCACAUUGGGACUGAGACGCAGGCCAAAAUCCUACGGGAGGAAGAAGUGGGGAAUAUUGGCACAUGGGCGCAAGGAUGAUCGAGCCAUGCCGCGUGAGUGAUGAAGGCGUUAGGGUUGUAAAGCUGUUUAACCGGAGAAGAUACUGACGGUAUCCGGAGAAGAAGCACCGGCUAACUUCGUG